This 229-nucleotide ribosomal RNA is filed under the name uncultured bacterium. Its description in RNAcentral is "partial 16S ribosomal RNA". It matches the Rfam family "Bacterial small subunit ribosomal RNA", at positions 568 to 796 of the family's 1533-position model. The record is from RNAcentral.
UGCGUAGGCGUUUUGUUAAGUCGAAUCUGAAAGCCCCCAGCUUAACUGGGGAGGGUGAUUCGAAACUGGCAGAAUUGAGUACGGCAGAGGUUAGUGGAAUUCAAUGUGUAGCGGUGGAAUGCGUAGAUAUAUUGAGGAACACCAGUGGCGAAGGCGGCUAACUGGACCGGAACUGACGCUGAGGCACGAAAGCGUGGGGAGCAAACAGGAUUAGAUACCCUGGUAGUCC